CUUUUUUCCCUGCUCUGCCCAUGUCGCUGCUUCUGCCUAUCUACAUUUUCUCAGACGCCAUUGAUGUAGAGUGCUGCGGGGUACCCUCCCCCACGAAGCGCGGUGCGCCCUCCCCCACGAAGCGCGGCGCCGUGGGAGUUGCUGCUGCUGCACUGGAUGCCAUCGCCAUGGCCGCGCCCUUCGCCAUGGCCGAACGCGACGGGGCCGAGCACCGGCGCUACUACGAGGGGGGGCCAUGACCUGCGAGCUCACAUGCCAGGGUGGCCAUGGCUUACGAGCUCGAGGCAUGUUACUUAAAACUCUAGAUUUGCUUCCAUGUUUGUUUUUUCUAGAACCAGUGUAUUAAUUUGUUACCACCGUCUUCGUUUUUUGCUGGAACUAAUCAAAUUUUGCUGCCAUGUCUUUUUGCUGGAAUCAUUUUGUACCACUUUUUUGCUACAACAGUUUUCGUUUUUUGCUACUACCGGCACUGUCGUUUGUUACAUCCUUUUUCAUGACACUAUUAGGAAAAGGGCUAUAGUAAUGGCGCACUAUACACAUAGUAAUGGUGCACUUUGUACAGGUGCGCCAUUACUAUGUCAACUAGUAAUGGCGCACUAUACCCUGGUGCGCCACUGCUAACAACUCAUAACCAAAUGCACCCCCCCUCCCCGACCGCCUUUUCAGUUUAAAAAAAAAGAAAAUGAUGGAAAUGUCAAAAAAAAAAGAAAAUAAGUUUCCCACGUGAUAUGUCGUCUAGUUGUUGGGAAAAUUUACAAAUAUGAAUUUCGACUUUAUUUGCUAAAUCCCUUUGGAAUUUAGUAAAAUGGGCAUAACUUUUGCAUACGAACUCGGAUUAAAAAGUCUUUUAUAUGAAAAAUCAUCUACUCAAAAAGUUACAUCCGAAUUCAACCGGGGGAACCCCGUUGAAGAUUUUCAGAAUCCCCAAAAACUAACAGAACGAAAGAUACGGGGCUUUUAAGAUCUAGAGGGGGGAAAAUGGAAAAAAAGUUCAAACUUACUAAUGGCGCACCAUUUGCUAGGUGCGCCACUAGUAAGAAACCAAUUUUUUGGAAAAAAAUGUUCAAAAUAUGAUACGUAAUAUGACCGGGAAGUUUGAAAUAUUUUUUCAAAAUUUCAUCACACUCAUGAACAUGAACAUGAACAAAGUCAUAGACAUCAACAAGGUUUAAUAGGAUUGAUAUGAUAGAUAUAUCAACAAGUGCCUGUUAAGUGAGCUGGUGCCGGGUUGGAGUAGUGUGAGGAUGGGUGACCUUCCGAAAAGUUUGACCACAGAGUACUAGCUGGACCACAAGUUGUUUUUGCUACAACCGGUGUCAAUUUUUGCUACCACCGGCUUCUUGAUUUUUCUGGAACCAGCGCUCGAUUUUUCAUUUUUGCUACCACUAGCGUUUUGAUUUGCUGGAACAAGCUUCAAUUUUUGCUACCAUCAGGUUUUUAGUUUGUUGGAACGGCGUCGAUUUUUUCCUAUUUUGCUACCAACGUUUUAUUGGUUUUUGCUUGAAUCGUCAAGAAUUUUUGCUACGACCGGCAAAUUAAGGACGAGGAACAACACGAGCUCUACGACGGGUGCUGCGGCCGGCAACGUGCGGCUCUGCGAGCCGCGGGGGGCCUCGCCGGAGAUGCGCCGCGGGGGCCUUGCUGGAGCUGGGCCUCGCCGGAAAUGCGCCGCGGGGGCCUUACUGGAGCUGCGCGGUGCUGCGAGCUGCAGGGGAUCUCGUCGGAGAUGCGCCGUGCUGUGAGCCGCGGGGGAUCUCGCCGGAGAUGUGCCACGGGGCCCGAGGAAGAAGAAGCUGGGGCGAUUUUUUAUUUAUUUUUGCUCCAGAUCCAACCGCCGCGCGGCUUGUAUCGAGCGGCUAUGGCUGGACCGGCCGAAAGUUUCGGCCGGUGCGCCGGCGCCUAGCCGUGCCCAUAAUUUUAUGACUCGUCGAUUCCGUGUAACUGAAAAGUUACCAUAAUCUUUGUAUUUGACACCCCUAAAAAACUAACCCUUUAUUUGGCGACUUAAGAGCCAAUAGGGUUUGCGCGAGAUCGAGCCCUGCACGGGAUGCGCGGGAGUUUUUUUUUUUUGAGAAACUGAUGUGCAAGAGUUAUAUCUCGCUUAUAGUGAGAUAUAUCAUGCCCUCAUCUGAAAGCUUUUACCCACACGUAGCCAUUAAGCCGGCCUUUAUUUUACAUUUUUUUUUCUUUACCAGGUUUUACCCUGUAUUUGGUGACUUCAGAGCCAAAUAGGGUUUGUGGCGUGAUCGAGCCCCGCAACGGAUAUGCGGGAACUAUAUCA
This 2281-nucleotide long non-coding RNA is filed under the name Triticum aestivum (bread wheat). RNAcentral describes it as "long non-coding RNA (TAES_LNC008446)". The record is from RNAcentral. Lineage: Eukaryota; Viridiplantae; Streptophyta; Magnoliopsida; Poales; Poaceae.